AUUUAUAUAGUUUAAUUAAAACCUUACAUUUUCACUGUAAAAAUAAAAUAUUUAAUUUUUAUAAAUA
RNAcentral lists this transfer RNA (67 nucleotides) under Amara communis. RNAcentral's name for it is "tRNA-Glu". The record is from RNAcentral. Lineage: Eukaryota; Metazoa; Arthropoda; Insecta; Coleoptera; Carabidae.